RNAcentral lists this microRNA (23 nucleotides) under Spodoptera frugiperda (fall armyworm). RNAcentral describes it as "sfr-miR-10476-5p". Lineage: Eukaryota; Metazoa; Arthropoda; Insecta; Lepidoptera; Noctuidae. The record is from miRBase by way of RNAcentral.
GAGCGAUGGUUGGAAUCCAACUG